Long non-coding RNA from Gymnogyps californianus (California condor), 1759 nucleotides. RefSeq lists it as uncharacterized. The record is from RefSeq and is a predicted model, not a curated record. Lineage: Eukaryota; Metazoa; Chordata; Aves; Accipitriformes; Cathartidae. The transcript is spliced from 5 exons.
UGAAAACAGACCUGUUGGUAAUCCAGAGGGUUUGGCCCAGGACCUGACUUCUGAAGCCCCCAAACUUCAGCUUACGCAGCAGACUGCCAUGGACUACUGAAACCAUACUUUGCCUGCCUGUGCAUGCUGCUGGUAACCAGUUCCUGCUAAGUCUGUCCACUACAUUUCUCAGUGUUUCUUCAAAUCUUGAACCGUGUUUGCCACAGCACAUGCAGCUCCAUGUGCUGAAUGUCAGAGCAAGAGGGUGCCGGGUGCUGAUGGAUCUGUCGCUCUGGGAGCGGACUGUCAGCUCUGGGCUGCAUCCCGCAGCCGUUAUUCCAGCACAGAGCCGACAUUGCAGCCUGCUUUGCUUCAGUACCUGAGCUACCUUACUGAGGACAGGCCUGAUUGCUGCUGCAGUGGAACACACAGAGAAGAAAGAGGAUCUUUGCUACUGUGAUGGAGUGAGAAGAAAUGACUGCGGUGAAGAUGACGCAUUUGCUUGAUGCAUUUGCCAUUAGGAUCAGUGGAAAGGAUUUGACUUCUGCACUUAUGGAUACCCCUCUUUGGCAACGAGUGGCAAAAUCAAAUCUGUAGGUUUAAAAAUCUGUUCUACAAUUAAAUUUUCAGAAGGACCUACCGAUUUUGACGAGGAUUUUGUUUUUUAGAAGCUGAUGGCAAUAUGUAUUAGUAGGCACACAUUAUUCAAAGCUUAGCUUUGUUGAAUGACAGUUCAUUUCACAGUUUACUGAAAUUUCAUGUACAUCUGUUAAGCGCCAAGGAGGCAAAAGUGGAAGAGGAGGACAGCACUUGCAGAGCUGCAGAGCACAGAGUAAACUGUAAGCUUACCAUGAACACAGGGAGAAAAAUAUUUACAAAAAGAGAAUAUACUUCAGUAGCACUGUGUUAUCGAUAGACGUUGUUGAACCCUACCACCCAAACCAACCUGUGCAGACAAUGUCCUUUCCCCCAGACGUCCCUGCUGGGGCUCUGGGACGUGCAGGCACUGCUGCCCGGGCAGCUGAGCCCAGCCCAGCCAGCCCUGUCACUUCAGAAUUUCUUGGGGCUUCCUCUGGCUCCCAUUGCAAUCAAUAAGAGUCAAGGUCUGGCAGCGCGGUGACUGCAGCCCACUGGAUUUGGGUGAACUGCCCAAAGGAAAAGCAUGCUGAAGCAUUCCUCAUAUUGAUUCAUCCUCCUGGAACGUGCUUUCCAUAUCAACGCUUUCACGUGGCAGCGGCAUGUGCCGGGUUCUGAAAAUAUGAAGGAAGAUGACCUGAGGCAUGUUUGCAUCCUCCUGCUUGGCGAGGGUGCGGCAGGCUCCGAGCUCAGCUCUCCCGGUCCGCUGUUUUCUCUGUUUGCUAUGGGGCUGGACAUCUCCUCCUGACCUUGGUCCUUUCAGGACUGACAUUUUAUCCGGGUCUUGCUCUUGGGUCCGUGAGAGCAGAUCACAAUGCAGAUUGGUUUUGUCACCCGGCUUAUCCUCUCCAGCUUAUCUUAAUCUUUAAAAUGAACUUUUGAAGUGAAGUAAGAUAAGUCUUGGCUGACUCCCAUCAGUUUUCAGUAAAAUGCCCCAAGACUGCCUGCGCCCCUGGCAGUGGGUGCUGAGGCAGUGGGUGCUGGCACCCUGUGCUGUGCCCGGGUGGCUGGGGAAGGAUGUUGGUGCAAGGUAUCUCUCCUGGCCCUGGCAAGGGGGGAUUACAGCCCAGCCUCCUGAAGGGCAAUACUGGAACUUCCGAUAUUUUCCAAACUGGGAAACGGCACUGUAGAUGCCAUUUGAUGG